CACCUCUAGCAUUACCAGUAUUAGAGGCACUGCCUGCCCAGUGACAUCAGUUUAACGGCCGCGGUAUCCUGACCGUGCAAAGGUAGCAUAAUCAUUUGUUCCUUAAUUAGGGACUUGUAUGAAUGGCCCCACGAGGGUUUAACUGUCUCUUACUUUUAAUCAGUGAAAUUGACCUUCCCGUGAAGAGGCGGGAAUAUUAAAAUAAGACGAGAAGACCCUAUGGAGCUUUAAUUUAUUUGUCCAACAAAAUCCUAAUUUAAUCCAACAGGAACAACAAUAUUUUAACUGGACAACAAAUUUUGGUUGGGGUGACCUCGGAGCAUAACUCAACCUCCGAGCAAUCAAACUAAGACUUACCUGUCAAAGCAACAUCACUUAUUGAUCCAAUCUUAUUGAUCAACGGAACAAGUUACCCUAGGGAUAACAGCGCAAUCCUAUUUAAGAGUUCAUAUCGACAAUAGGGUUUACGACCUCGAUGUUGGAUCAGGACACCCAAAUGGUGCAGCAGCUAAUAAAGGUUCGUUUGUUCAACG
Molecule: ribosomal RNA, 533 nt
Filed under: Suncus dayi
Lineage: Eukaryota; Metazoa; Chordata; Mammalia; Eulipotyphla; Soricidae
Description: partial 16S ribosomal RNA
Rfam family: Bacterial large subunit ribosomal RNA
Source: RNAcentral